AAAGGAAUUGACGGGGGCCCGCACAAGCAGUGGAGUAUGUGGUUUAAUUCGACGCAACGCGAAGAACCUUACCAAGGCUUGACAUGUAGAGUAAGGAAGUAGAGAUACUUAGGCCCUACGGGGACUCUACACAGGUGGUGCAUGGUUGUCGUCAGCUCGUGUCGUGAGAUGUUGGGUUAAGUCCCGCAACGAGCGCAACCCUUGCAGUCAGUUGCCAGCGCGUAAAGGCGGGAACUCUGACAGGACUGCCGGUGACAAAUCGGAGGAAGGUGGGGACGACGUCAAAUCAUCAUGCCCCUUACGUCUUGGGCUACACACGUACUACAAUGGACGCAACAGAGGGAAGCGAAGUCGCAAGGCGGAGCGGAUCCCUAAAAAGCGUUCUCAGUUCGGAUUGUGGGCUGAAACCCGCCCGCAUGAAGUCGGAAUUGCUAGUAAUCGCAGGUCAGCAUACUGCGGUGAAUACGUUCCCGGGCCUUGUACACACCGCCCGU
Molecule: ribosomal RNA, 494 nt
Filed under: uncultured bacterium
Lineage: Bacteria
Description: bacterial SSU rRNA
Rfam family: Bacterial small subunit ribosomal RNA
Source: RNAcentral